CACUAUCGUUAACUGAAUACAUAGGUUAACGAGGCGAACCGGGGGAACUGAAACAUCUAAGUACCCCGAGGAAAAGAAAUCAACCGAGAUUCCCCCAGUAGCGGCGAGCGAACGGGGAGCAGCCCAGAGUCUGAAUCAGCUUGUGUGUUAGUGGAACGGUCUGGAAAGUCCGACGGUACAGGGUGAUAGUCCCGUACACCAAAAUGCACAGGCUGUGAACUCGAAGAGUAGGGCGGGACACGUGGUAUCCUGUCUGAAUAUGGGGGGACCAUCCUCCAAGGCUAAAUACUCCUGACUGACCGAUAGUGAACCAGUACCGUGAGGGAAAGGCGAAAAGAACCCCGGCGAGGGGAGUGAAAAAGAACCUGAAACCGUGUACGUACAAGCAGUGGGAGCACCUUCGGGUGUGACUGCGUACCUUUUGUAUAAUGGGUCAGCGACUUAUAUUCUGUAGCAAGGUUAACCGUAUAGGGGAGCCGCAGGGAAACCGAGUCUUAACUGGGCGUUAAGUUGCAGGGUAUAGACCCGAAACCCGGUGAUCUAGCCAUGGGCAGGUUGAAGGUUGGGUAACACUAACUGGAGGACCGAACCGACUAAUGUUGAAAAAUUAGCGGAUGACUUGUGGCUGGGGGUGAAAGGCCAAUCAAACCGGGAGAUAGCUGGUUCUCCCCGAAAGCUAUUUAGGUAGCGCCUCGUGAAUUCAUCUUCGGGGGUAGAGCACUGUUUCGGCUAGGGGGUCAUCCCGACUUACCAACCCGAUGCAAACUACGAAUACCGAAGAAUGUUAUCACGGGAGACACACGGCGGGUGCUAACGUCCGUCGUGAAGAGGGAAACAACCCAGACCGCCAGCUAAGGUCCCAAAGUCAUGGUUAAGUGGGAAACGAUGUGGGAAGGCACAGACAGCCAGGAUGUUGGCUUAGAAGCAGCCAUCAUUUAAAGAAAGCGUAAUAGCUCACUGGUCGAGUCGGCCUGCGCGGAAGAUGUAACGGGGCUAAACCAUGCACCGAAGCUGCGGCAGCGACAC
This 1026-nucleotide ribosomal RNA is filed under the name Klebsiella pneumoniae. RNAcentral's name for it is "partial 23S ribosomal RNA". It matches the Rfam family "Bacterial large subunit ribosomal RNA", at positions 146 to 1214 of the family's 2925-position model. RNAcentral also lists the same sequence under 1 other name. Lineage: Bacteria; Pseudomonadati; Pseudomonadota; Gammaproteobacteria; Enterobacterales; Enterobacteriaceae. The record is from RNAcentral.